Molecule: long non-coding RNA, 3249 nt
Organism: Lolium rigidum
Lineage: Eukaryota; Viridiplantae; Streptophyta; Magnoliopsida; Poales; Poaceae
Exons: 2
Source: RefSeq, a predicted model, not a curated record
GGGAGAUGCAUUUACAUAUCUGCUUUACUUGCUGCAGCCCGUUCAAGUUCUUUUAUCUGAAUAAAGGAUCACAUGAUAGUCCGGGUUCAGACUUCAUCGCAUAAUCUCAAUCAACUUUUGGCCAGAUGGUGUUGUGUAUCGAGUAACAACAGCUAGAACGAUAGAGUAGGAGGGGGAUCAACUUUCGUUGGUGAUCUCCACACAAAUGUAACAUCAAGUUAAUUUUAUUCACUAUGCUGGGAGUGUUUUGAAGCACAAGCUGGAGCAGACAGUUGGUGUUAAUUUCCACAAUGUUUAAUUUUAUCUCACUUGGUUUUAAUGCACCUUUAUCUUGACACCAUUGUCUUAUUAGAGAGCAUAAGUCAUUUGCCCUGAUAUCUGUCAUUAACUAAAUGCCAAUCUUCUUCCUGUCAACAUAUGUACUCUCCCAUCACUUUGGUCAUCCAUAUCUCUUUCCUGCCCUCACCCUAGAUCUCUCCCGAUGUACUACUACCACAAACAAUUCACUGACUAUAUUCACUUCAUGGGAAUGCCACUGCCUACGAGUGGGAGUCCAAUUAUAUUGCCUCAGCUCACAGUCUGAUUUUUAUUUGUGUGUUUGUGUGCAUUUGGAAGUGGAUGAAAAUGCUUAAGUUUUGAUUCUGAAUCUCGUAGUUGUUGUACCACAUUUUUUAUUCUGAAUCUCAGCAAAUUCUCCCUGAUUUUUAGAUUUCCACCCUGUUUUGUUACGCUCUACAAUAUGGGUUCAUCUGUAUUCUGUGAUUGAAUAGGGUCAACAGAUCGGUCUGGUGCUAAAUGCUUGAUAUGGAACUAAAUAAACACCUUGUGGGUAAAGUCACAGUUAAUAGUUCAGAUGCCAGGUACUAGCUUUCAAACACCCAACGAAUUAUUUUCUUCUUUGACACAAAGGUAGUUUUGGGAAACUUGGUUUUUGUAACACUUCAAUCAUUUAUGAUGACUGCUAUGUGAAUACAUCUUUAUCUUUAUGACUGGAGCUUCGAAAAAGGCAAUGAACAUUGUUCCUGAUCCAUCUCACUACCUAUGCAUUUUUUGUUCGUUUUUUGCAGUUAUCUUAUAAACUUUCUUAUUUGUGAACAACCAUAACAAUUUAGCUUAUUCUAGCCGUUGUCCAAGGCUAUUGGUAUUGGUCGCCUUCGUCCGCGUCGUGAAGUGCGCGACCCUCGCGAACGUUCAUCUCGCGGCCGCUCUUGCCUUUACCAACGAAUCGGUUUGACUGCAGUGCACGAUUACUAAAUUGGUGCAUUCGGAAUACCACCAAUAUAUAAUUUCUUGCAAUGCCAUCUAACAGUGCUACUGCUGAUCUCCCACAGAAGAUUUCUCCACCAAAAAUGAUUCACUCUUCUAUGCCCCUUACUGUAAAGUACCAUCAGAGCAUCGUAUCUCAAUGUUCCUUAUUUCUUUCAUACCUGAACGCACAGAAUUACUGUAAAAUGCUCAAACACUCUUGAACUAUUUGCUAUGGAGGAAUCUAUAAGUGUUUUACAAAUCCCUGCUUCCUGUUUGCAGCCCAGAACUGAGGAGCAGCAGGGACGAGCGCAUCCUCGACGCUGCAGCGAUUGACGCCGUGAAGGCGUACAGCAGGGAUGAGCGCAUCCUCGACGCUACAGCGAUUGACGCCAUGAAGGCGUACAUUGGGUCCGAGGAAUAUUGAAGAUCUCAGGAGCUUGCACGUAUGUCAGAUUUGAGAUGGAAAGAAGCCCUCAGAGUACAUUAAUUCAUCACUGAUUUCGGGAUUUUGAAUGUCACAUGUUAUUGUGAAAUUUAGAUGUCACACAUUAUCAUGGACUCAGCUGCGGUCGAGCCCAAGCGCACCCGUGCGGACCGGGAGCUCUGUCUAGGUGGUGAUGCAUGUGUCGCCCUGUCUUGUACCCAGGGGAGUGUCCAUGGGUGUGUGUUGGAGGAUGCAUUGCCCCCUUCGGCGAACCGUGAAUUAACACCACCACAACACCGCCAGGCUGCUCCCGGCCAUUCGACAAGCUAGGGCGAUAUUACAGGUUAUGAAAUUUGGUCCUCCAGUGAUUUUAUGCUUCACGGUUGUUUCUAUGGCUUUGAUUGUGGAUAAAUUUAUAUGAUGUACUGCUUUGCAAUGCAGAAGCUUUGGUUGUCCAGUGAUUGGUCUAUCGUCUAAUUGAAGCGCAUGGUGGCAUAUUUGGGUUGGUAUUUCGGCAUCUUCCUCUUAAACUGAAUUGGUCAAUUAUUCUACUGCUGCAAGAAUUGAUAAUGUGGGCUGCGGAUAUGAUUAGUCAGAUUUUAGCUCCAUAAUAAUGAACUAAACGGUACAUAGUGUGUUGGUCCCAGUGUACUUAUUGGAAAUGUCUGAUCAAGUUGUUACUUGGAAUGCUACGAUUUUAUUGCAGGCUUGGUUUACCAUUAUUAGGAGUUCUGCUUCAUCACCUAUAAUAUCAGAAUUCCUCGGUUCCAUGUUUCAAGGUGUCAACAAGCAGAGGUAUUAACUGCGCUGGCAGAUGAUAAUGCUUUAAUGGAAGUAAAAGCGUCCAUUAGUGCAGCUCGGUUCAUUGGAUCCACAUUGACACAAUGAUGCGAGAACGCGUUUCUUUCUUGGAAUGGAAAAUCUACAUGUACUUCGCAAACGUAGGUGUGUAUUCCAGCAAGAGAUAGAUCAACAGAGAAAAUUUAGAUUAGAAUGGGUUGAUUAGAUUUCUAUUGUUAAUCUUAUAGCAUUUGAUGCUUGCUCUUGGAAUUUUCUGAAGAACAAUAUGCAGUGGCAGGAGCAUUCAGAAAAACCAGCUAUAUCCAGGGCCAUCAUAGAAUCUUCGGGCUACAAGCAAGGGAUGCUAUGUAAGCUGGAAGGUGGCCUAAAUGUGCUAUAUUUUCUAACAGUAUGGAGAGUUGUGGCAAGUGGAGUAGACAAGCUGAUAUUCACUAGAAUUUCCCUGGAACCCAAUGUUUAGUAAUGGUGGGGCGGAAAGGAUUCAUGCUAAUUGGACUGUUCCCUUUAUUGUUUUUCAAGCAUGGUGUUUGAGGUCUGAAGUUUUCUUUCCAAGAUUGUACGAGUGGUUGAAAUUGCUAAAGGUUAAUGAGAAGAAACUACUAGAGAUAGAAUGACCAAUGAUAAAAUUCAGCUGAUGGAGGAUGGAGUACUGACAGUUGCUGAGGCUGAAAAGAUAAUUUAAAAAAAAGGGUGUAUGAUAUACAAAUAUCAGGCUUCAAAGUUGGAAACGAAUUGUCAAAUUGGAAUGAAAUAUACAUUGUUUUACAUCAUACAAA